GUCGGCAAAAAAAAUAAAAAUAGGUAGACCAGGUCCAUUAUUCUAUAGUUUAUUCACAGUACACUCAAUAGUUUGGUUUCUAACUGAAUGUGGGGCAUCACUGUGAUAAGAUUGUCAGAGAAUCCAAGCUUCUGACUUUGGCUGCUUAUGGUGAAAAUUUCUCUACAUGGUUCACCUUCUGCUACUUGACAGAUCAUGUAUGGGCCUUUGACAUUAAUAGGCUAAAAUACUAAUAUGAUUUGAUCUUUCCAAAUCACACGGUGCAGGUGAAAAAUACCUUUCAAUAGACAGCCAUUAGGGACUGAUCAUGAAACAAUAGACACAUAUAUUAUGCUGAGCGCUAUUAAUAGGCAUUAGCCUACUAGUUUGCAGAAGGUUACGCCUAGGCUAUUACUGGUAUGACACCCUAGCUUGCAGCAGCAAUGCAGUCAGCUAUUUACUGAGUCAGCAGGCAUGUGUGUUUCAUAUAUCUACUACUGUGGUCUUAGCUAUUAGGCAAACUGAACUGGGGUGACCUUAAUUACUCUCAUGUUACUGCGAGUGCACAGUUCUACAACAUAAUCUACAACCGUCUGGCCUCCAGGGAGCCCCAAACCAAUCCAUAGGGAUGAUAAUUCUUAUAUUAAGCCUCCUUUCACUUAUUUAGACUAAAACAAAGUUAGUCGACUUAAAAGUUGCAUCUCGUGAAAUGAUGUUAGCGCAGUAAAAGUGCUGUAUGUGAACUUUCCCCGGUUUGUCGCCCUCUGCCAGAUAUUUUCCCCACAGCGUUGUUUUCGUUGGUCAUGAUGACGACAAGGUAACACCUGAUGCCUCAGAGAAUAAAUCAUUGUGUGUUGACCCUCGGUCCGCCUUAGCUCCGGGUACGAGGAAAACACUCCUCCGAAGCUUGUGCAAACACACACUGGGGAGGGAGUCAGACACGGGACAGACAGACCGGGUAAGUGCUGAAACGCCACAGGAAGUUGCAGAACAGGCAUAAAGGGAGUACCUUGUUCUUUCCUGGCAGGAUGAGUGAGGUAAACUCUCCACACUGGCCACAUUAGCACAUUAGACAAGAACCAGCCAACCAGUGGAAAGCAAAUAAGAGUUAGCGGUAACUGUACACGUAGAGUUAUCAUAGGGGAGUGGGCUAGAUUUUAUCAACACACAAGUCAAGUCUCCCAUCUCUCCCUCUCAGUCUCACCGCAUGGUAUGCAGCAUAAUGCAGCAAAUUCCUUCAGGGAGCAAGUCAGGAAACACAGCAAGGAAACAAGCCUUACCUCGCGCAGUUAUGAAUCACUUUUGGCUAACCUCGUCCACAGAGUCUAGAGUGCCAGAUAUGGGAUUACGGAGGUAUUUAUGGAGACAAACACAUUCUUUCCAUGAAAUUGAAAGCGGGUAACCUCCCAUGCGCACCAUGCAGCGGUAGUAGGACAGAGGAGCCAAAGGCCUCAGUGACAGAUGACAGCAGUACUGAAGGGAACAUGGCCUGAUGGAAAUGAAUAAGGAAGGCCUCUAUUUCGCAGAUACUGUUGCCAUGUGCUCUUUAUAUAAAUAUAGAAU
Long non-coding RNA from Hypomesus transpacificus, 1542 nucleotides. RefSeq lists it as uncharacterized. Lineage: Eukaryota; Metazoa; Chordata; Actinopteri; Osmeriformes; Osmeridae. The record is from RefSeq and is a predicted model, not a curated record. The transcript is spliced from 3 exons.